UCAAAAGCUGGAUCCUGCUCUCUAACUACAGGGAACUCAAAGGGUGGUGAGGCAGGAUGGUCUGGGGAGGGAGACCUAGGAGCUCUACUGGAUUGACCUCUAAAAUAUGAGUGCCUACGGGCUGUGGAUUUUCUACCCAUUCUAAAACACAGCAGCUAAAGAGGCAAUGAAAGAAACAAACAGAAAAUAAAAUACCAACCCAUAAGCAAUUCAUUAUCACAAAACUCAAUCCAUAAACCACAGUAACACAAACUAGUCAUAUAACUGUUAUUGCACCACAUCCAUAUUCAGAACUAAAAAUAUUAACAGUUUUUAUAUAUGAAUCCAGCUAAUCAGUAAAAUAAUCCAGCUAACAGCAUAUUGAUACCCAGCUAACAGUAAAAUAAUUCAUCUAACAGCAUAUACAGAGCAACAGAAAAUUAGCCAGCAGAGUUUACAUAUACUCAUGGCAACAGAUAACCCAGCUAACAAAGAGCAACAAGUAAAAAAAAAUAUAACAGGCAGUUUUCAUAAAGAUAUCAACAACCCAGCUAUCAAUGUAGAUAUAAAGACAGCAACAGAAAAAAAAAAA
RNAcentral lists this long non-coding RNA (571 nucleotides) under Manihot esculenta (cassava). RNAcentral describes it as "long non-coding RNA (MESC_LNC007274)". Lineage: Eukaryota; Viridiplantae; Streptophyta; Magnoliopsida; Malpighiales; Euphorbiaceae. The record is from RNAcentral.